UACAGUUAUAUUUUCCCCUUGGACUAGAUCUGGCACUCCACUUUCAACUAAAUCAAGAAUUGCCUCUCCUCUUGUAGGUUCCAGAAUCAAGCCAUUUAACGAGUCAAGAAACUCUCCCUGCAUCUUGUCCUGGGAUGACGUGUACCCAGUCAGUGUGGGGUGCAUCGCAUAAUCCAGAAUGCUGUAAAGAAUCGUAUGUGGGUCCAUAUGACGAUCCAAACACCAUAAGAUGAAUCUACACCAUUUUGCCAGGAACUCUGGCAGAUUGGAGGUAAGACACCCAUCUCAUCACUAUGGCAAUAGCUGUUGUUCGCACUGCUGUGUCUGCAACGUCCAUCGCUAUCUGCAGACCAGCUCUGGUAGAGGCAUACCCCUCUUGUACGACCGCCUUCAGAAUCUCUCUCCUGGACUCGGAAAGCAGCUCCAUCAGUGGUGUCAAAUUGGUAUAAUUGUCAAACCUUGUGGUUUGAUAGAUGCACUAAAUAAUUUGCUAUUCAAAGGAGGAGUGUGGAUGACAUGUAAACCUUCCUGCCUAAUAAAUCCAGUCUUUUAGAAUCUUUGUCUAAUGUGUAAUUCCUAUACUGCAGUGUUUUUACCCUUUGUUGUGCCACAUCUACUACUAAGGAGUUUGGCUGAGGGGGACUGAAAAAAAAUCUCAGACCGCUUGGGUGGCACAAAAUACUUUUUAUCUGCCCUCUUGUUGGUAAGUAAGGCGGCUGCCAGGGUUUGCCAGAUCUCAUCUGCAACUUCCAAUAUGGCUUCAUCAAGCGGGAUGGCCAGCUUUGAAGAGGAGGAAGCUUGCAGAUUAAGGAGGCGAUGUUGUUUUUCUUUAAUCUCGGACAACUGUAUCUCUUGACUAACUGCCACCCUCUUGAACAACUCUUGAAAUUGUUUUAAAUCGUCAGGAGGUGAAGCAUCUCCAGGGAUAACUGCUUUGUCAGGUGAUGAAGAGGACUGAUCUGUAGGGGAUAUAUCAGGUGGCUGUACCUCUAUUGCAGUGAGCUGCUCCUGGUCAGUGUCAGAACGAGGCAGUUGAGGAGACACUGGAUUUUGUUUUAAAACAGAUGAGGAUGGAACACGUGAAUGUCCAGGAGAUGUGCACUCAUAUGUUGACCGUGGACGAGAUCUGGAUCUGUAAUGAGAGGAGUAUCUAUAUGGCGAGUUAUGUCUGUGUUGGUCGUAAUGGUGGUGGCGGUCGUCAUGGUAGUAAUUGCUAUAUGUGGGAGAAAGACUAUAUGCGCGAGGUCUCCUGUAUUUCCUCCAGUAAGUGGAUCUUGGUGAUCUUGGAGAGUGGGAGAGAGUGUAAGAUCUCCUUUGAGGUGACAGAGAGGCUGAGAAUUGUCAUUGGGAGUAAUGAGUAGGCUCUCUAGGUGGAGUGAGGUAGUCUGUGUGAGGAGUGGUACCAAUUGUCUUGGUUGGGCAGAAGCGAAGGAGAUGCCAGUGCCACCAGCGGUG
Non-coding RNA from Pelodiscus sinensis (Chinese soft-shelled turtle), 1455 nucleotides. The record is from RefSeq and is a predicted model, not a curated record. Lineage: Eukaryota; Metazoa; Chordata; Testudines; Trionychidae.